RNAcentral lists this ribosomal RNA (253 nucleotides) under uncultured bacterium. RNAcentral's name for it is "partial 16S ribosomal RNA". It matches the Rfam family "Bacterial small subunit ribosomal RNA", at positions 524 to 776 of the family's 1533-position model. The record is from RNAcentral.
GACGAACCGUGCGAACGUUGUUCGGAAUCACUGGGCUUAAAGGGCGCGUAGGCGGGUUCGCAAGUCCGGGGUGAAAUCUUUCAGCUUAACUGGAAAAGUGCCCCUGAUACUGCGAGUCUCGAGGGAGGUAGGGGCAUGUGGAACUUCCGGUGGAGCGGUGAAAUGCGUAGAUAUCGGAAGGAACGCCGGUGGCGAAAGCGACGUGCUGGACCUCUUCUGACGCUGAGGCGCGAAAGCUAGGGGAGCAAACGGG